This 300-nucleotide long non-coding RNA is filed under the name Daucus carota (carrot). RNAcentral's name for it is "long non-coding RNA (DCAR_LNC004963)". The record is from RNAcentral. Lineage: Eukaryota; Viridiplantae; Streptophyta; Magnoliopsida; Apiales; Apiaceae.
AAUAAAAAGAAUAUCACAAUCCAAAUCAACGGAUACAAUCAUCUUUUAGCACAAACAUCCCUCCACGUCAUCGAUCCGCACCAAAUCCAUCCAUCAUCGUCCAUUCAAUCCUCGAAAUCCACGGCCACGAUUCUCUCAACUCCCGCCCAACAAUCCCCCUCCUUUAUUUAAAAUACAAUCCCCAUAAAUAAAAAGCCUAUCACAAUCCAAAUCAACGGAUCCAAUCAUCUUUCAGCACAAACAUCCCUCCACGUCAUCGAUCCGCACCAAAUCCAUCCAUCAUCGUCCAUUCAAUCCCUG